Molecule: non-coding RNA, 1481 nt
Filed under: Thermothelomyces thermophilus ATCC 42464
Lineage: Eukaryota; Fungi; Ascomycota; Sordariomycetes; Sordariales; Chaetomiaceae
Description: Myceliophthora thermophila ATCC 42464 Eukaryotic large subunit ribosomal RNA
Rfam family: Eukaryotic large subunit ribosomal RNA
Source: Rfam by way of RNAcentral
AUGGAAUAAUAUAGAUAAGGGAAGUUAGUAAAAUAGAUCCGUAACUUUGGGAUAAGGAUUAGCUCUAAGAGUUAGGUACGUUAGGCUUUAGGCGGACGCCUUAGGAGUAGGUCGCCUCUAGCUAGGCAACUAGUAGGGGGCUUCUAGUAUCUAGGUAUAGAUGCCCUUAGUAGGCUUCGGCCGUUUGGUAUAUAGUUAAUAACUAACUUAGAACUAGUAUAGAUAGGGGGAAUCUAACUAUCUAAUUAAAAUAUAGUAUUAUAAUAGCUAGAAAGUGGUAUUAAUAUAAUAUAAUUUCUACCUAGUGCUUUAAAUAUCAAAGUAAAGAAAUUCAACUAAGUGUAGGUAAACGGUAGAAGUAACUAUAACUCUCUUAAGGUAGCUAAAUACCUUGUCAUCUAAUUAGUAACGUAUAUAAAUAGAUUAAUAAGAUUCUUACUAUUCCUAUCUACUAUCUAGUAAAACUAUAGCUAAGGGAACAGGCUUAGCAAAAUUAGUAGGGAAAGAAGACCCUAUUAAGCUUGACUCUAGUUUGAUAUUAUAAAAAGAUAUAGGAGGUAUAGAAUAGGUAGGAGCUUUGGUACUAGUAAAAUACUACUACUCCUAUUAUUUUUUUACUUAUUUAAUAAAGUAGGGCUAGAUUUCUAUCUAACUUCUGGUUUUAAGGUCCUUUACAGGCUGACCUAGGUUAAAGACAUUAUUAGGUAGGGAGUUUAGCUAGGGCGGUAUAUCUAUUAAACUAUAACGUAGGUAUCCUAAGGGGGGCUUAUAGAGAAUAGAAAUCUCUAAUGGAAUAAAAGGGUAAAAGUCCCCUUAAUUUUGAUUUUUAGUGUAAAUAUAAACUAUAAAAGUAUAGCCUAUCGAUCCUUUAGUCCCUUGAAAUUUAAGGUUAGAGGUGCUAGAAAAGUUACUAUAGGGAUAACUAGCUUAUAGCGGCUAAACGUUUAUAGUAACGUCGCUUUUUAAUCCUUUGAUAUUAGCUCUUCCUAUUAUACUAAAGCAGAAUUCGGUAAGCGUUAGAUUGUUUACCUACUAAUAGAGAAUAUAAGCUAGGUUUAGACUAUCGUAAGAUAGGUUAGUUUUACCUUACUAAUGAACUUAUCGUAAUGGUAAUUUAGCUUAAUACGAGAGGAACUACUAAUUUAGAUAAUUAGUUUUUACGGUUAUCCGACUAGGCAGUGCUAUAAAGCUACCAUCUGCUAGAUAAUAGCUAAACGCCUCUAAGUCAGAAUCUAUACCAGAAUACGAUAAUACUACCUAUACGUUAUAGACGUAUAAGAAUAGGCUCCGGCCUCGUAUCCUAGUAAGCGAUUCCUCUACUAGCCUUGAAGUUGGCCGGCGGUAAUUCGCGUAUUACAAUUUCGAUACGUGUAGGAUCAAAUCCUUUACAGACGACUUAGAUAUAAAAAAGGGUUCUAUAAGUAGUAGAGUAGCCUUGUUAUUACGAUCUGCUAAAGGUAAGCCUUCCUUUGCCUAGAUUU